Molecule: RNA transcript, 2654 nt
Organism: Asparagus officinalis (garden asparagus)
Lineage: Eukaryota; Viridiplantae; Streptophyta; Magnoliopsida; Asparagales; Asparagaceae
Exons: 6
Source: RefSeq, a predicted model, not a curated record
CUCUCUCUCUCUCCAGACAAAUUCGUAACGGAUACUUCCUCACUUCCCUCUCUCUCUUCAUAAAUUUCUAGGGUUUAUCGAAAUCUCGCCACAAAUUUUCCUUUCUUUGCGAAAUUCGUUCUGAUCUCCUCGCAGAAUCUCUAUUUUCUUGAGCUCUAUCCGCCAUGGAAUUGCGUUGCGUUUACGAAUCGGAAUCGGAAUCGGAAUCGAAAUCGGCGAGCGAUAGCGAGACUCCUGCCGAUCUUAAGAACAAAGGAUCGGAGGUCGAGGCAUCAGGAUCUGCGACUGGAAGUGGAAGAAAGAACGGAGGACUAAGAGAGAAUGCACAUUCCCUUGUGAAUUCUGUUUCUAAAAUUGUAUCACAAAUUAAGAAACCUCAAUACAAGCGAAGUGGUUCUCCACUGAACUGGUUUCCUCGGAGGAAGACAGACUCUUAUUUGAAAAGGAAAAUCAGACUUCUGCAGAAAAAUGAGGGGAUGGACUUAUCGCUUGAUGAGACUCUAGGUAAUGCUAAUCCACAUUAUACAAGGAUAGCAAGGGAGAAAAUUGCUGCGAGAGAGGCUGCAAGGAAAGCUAUGGAAGCUCGUAAAGCCGCAAUGGUUGAAGCUUCAUGGUGUCGAGUACUUCGUGCAGCCAGAAUUCAAAAUAAAGAAGCAGAAGCUGAGUUGGAAAAAGCUGAGAAAUGUGCAGCAGAAGCUUUUGAAGCGGCAAGAGCAAAGGGAGUAAUGAUGUAUGACAGGCCAGAUACUCCAAGGAGAUCAUAUGAAGUAGAAUCUCAUCCAUCCCUCAGUGGAAAAUCUACCCACACUGUCACUGCUUCUUUCGAAACUGCAUUUGAGGUAGACAAGGAAGUUAUGGCAGCAAUUAGAAGAGCAUUUAUACAGCUUGCAAAUGGUCCCCACUCUUCAAAUAAAGAAGAAUUCAAAGACUUGCUGUGGAAAAUCAACCAGAAUCCUGACAAUAAUGAAGCUAGUCUUGAUUUUUCAGAGACACAUUCAGAAUCUGAAUUGGACGCCGACCUUAGUGGUGAUGAUGCAGUCAAUAUACAGGAUACUGAAAAGAAGCAGAAAAGAUCCAACUGCAGUCAGUUUGAUAAUGGUCAUGACAAGAGCACUGCUGAAAAGUUCAUUGAGCUUGUCACCGUCAUGCUUGAUAGACUUAAAGGUCUAGAAGAAGAUGAACUUGCUUCGCUUGCUACUAUAGUCGCCACUUGUGGUCUGAAUGCUGCUCUCAUCGAGCUAGAACAUAGCAAAGAUCAUGAACUGAAUGGGUUUUCAUGUACAAAUAAACAUGGAACAGGGGAAAGAAGGAACUCCAGUGUCGCUCGUUUUAUGGAUGGAUAUUCAAAUAGGAAAGAACCUGUUACUGAAGUGCCCAGUCUUGACAAGUUCCUGGUGAAGCAUGUGUCAAGGCUAGAGAGAGAAGUUCAAGAAGCACGGAACUCAAGAUCUCAACAAACUACAGGAGCCUCUGAACCGAUAAAUGCUGAGCCAAAGAAGUUUACGUCAUCAGAGCACGUCUCAGAUUUUGGAAGUGUUCUUGUAAAGCACGUCUCUAAACUUGAGAAGGAGAUACAGGAAGCUAGAAAGUCCCGAAACAAUAGCUCAUAUCAGGACAAAGAAAAUAUAGACUCUAAUACACUGGUGUCAUCAUCUGAUACCAAUGGAACUCAAUUUGGUACCGAAAUGGAGAAAUCACCUGUAAAACACCUCUCUCGGCUUGAAAGAGCUAAACUGGAAGUGCUAGCCACAUUUUCCUCUCACGAACAGUCUAGCCUUGAUAAAAUCCUAGUCAAGCCAGUGCACAGAUUGGAGAGAGAGAAAAUACAAGCAUUGGAAAGGGAGACUGAGUACUUGAAGAAAAGAGAUAAUCAGAAGCAAAAGGCUGAUGCAAGAGUUUCAGAGAGCUUAGACAAGGUAUUGGUAAAGCACAUCUCCAAGCUCGAAAAGGAAAAAAUGGUGUCUGGAAAAGAUUAUGGUCCAACAACAACGGUUAAAAGAAGAGACACGCAACAGCUCGAAAAGACUGGGAGCUUAGAUGAGAUUUUGGUUAAACAUCAAUCAAAACUUGAGAAGGUGAAGUUGGCUGCAUCACAGCAACCAGUAUAUGACAUUGUCAAAAACAAGAAACAUGGAACCGAGGCUACAGAAGAUAGCUUAGACAAGAUUUUGGUCAGGCAUCAGCCAGAACUCGAGAAGGCCAAAUUGGCUGCAGCUCAGCAGUCUGAUGAUUACACAAAAUAUGCAGAUUCUCGCAAGGAAGCAAGAGAGAGGGAGUUGCAGGAAGCUUGGGGUGGCCUAAGCUUAGGAAAUUCUAUACGGCCACAUCUUUCGAGGCUAGAGAGAGAUAGGGCUGCAUGGAAGAGAGCCGAGGAAGAAGAGAGAAUGCUAGCUAGGGAAGCCAUGAAAUGAUCCAAUAUAUAUCUCUAAAUAAAACCCUUUAUGUUUCAGCGUUGCAGUUGUUUCUACUUUGUUUUUCCUUUCAAUAGAAAUCUAACCUUGUGAUUACUUUGGCUAAUUUUGCUCGUCUUUCUUCUAUCAUAUUCAUCUUGUGGAUUUGCUACUUUUAUUUAACCGUUGUCUAAAAAAUUUCAUUCAUGUCCCCAGCAGGCUAGAAAUCUCAUCAUGCAAUUCUAAGGUAAUGGAAGUUUUCCC